RNAcentral lists this ribosomal RNA (253 nucleotides) under uncultured bacterium. RNAcentral's name for it is "partial 16S ribosomal RNA". It matches the Rfam family "Bacterial small subunit ribosomal RNA", at positions 524 to 776 of the family's 1533-position model. The record is from RNAcentral.
UACAGAGGGUGCGAGCGUUAAUCGGAAUUACUGGGCGUAAAGCGCACGUAGGCGGCUUGGUAUGUCGGGUGUGAAAUCCCCGGGCUCAACCUGGGAACUGCAUCCGAAACUGCCUUGCUAGAGUAUGGGAGAGGGAAGUGGAAUUUCCGGUGUAGCGGUGAAAUGCGUAGAUAUCGGAAGGAACAUCAGUGGCGAAGGCGACUUCCUGGACCAAUACUGACGCUCAGGUGCGAAGGCGUAGGGAGCAAACAGG